Molecule: ribosomal RNA, 264 nt
Filed under: uncultured bacterium
Lineage: Bacteria
Description: partial 16S ribosomal RNA
Source: RNAcentral
CUGCUGCCUUCCGUAGGAGUUUGGACCGUGUCUCAGUUCCAAUGUGGGGGACCUUCCUCUCAGAACCCCUAUCCAUCGAUGCCUUGGUGGGCCGUUACCCCGCCAACAAGCUAAUGGAACGCAUCCCCAUCGAUGACCGAAAUUCUUUAAUAGUUCUACCAUGCGGAAGAACUAUGCCAUCGGGUAUUAAUCUUUCUUUCGAAAGGCUAUCCCCGAGUCAUCGGCAGGUUGGAUACGCGUUACUCACCCGUGCGCCGGUCGCCA